UGUCCAUUGUUUAGCUAUCGCUAGCUGCUGAGGAGUCAGACAACUUCAUGUUUCCGUGUUUGUGUGUGGAUUCAAGGGGAUGUUGGUGAGUAGUGGGAAGCUAUUUUUUAACUAGGUCGGCACCCUUUUUUCACCUGCUAACGUUAGCUAGCUACAGUUUAAAAGAAUUUUUCAGUUGGGGCUGUUUGUGAGGAUUCGAAGUUAGUCAGUUUGACGUCAAUGGACAUUAAUUUAGCCAUCCGUUAGCUAGCUAGCUAAAUUACUUUUCUCACUGGAGGGCCUUUUUGUGAGUAACGUUAGUCAAAAACGUUGUUUUAACAAGUUCGGCGGACAUCAACGUUAGCCACCUGUUUGCUGGCUUAGCUAAUGUCAGCUAAAUUGCCUAAACCGUCGUUUUAACCAGUUCAUAACCAGUUCAACUGUUUCAGUAUUAUUCUACUUGGGCGGCCCGCCCAAGUAGAAUAAUAGCUAACACCCGAGUCCGCAGCUCUACGCAGUGAGCUAUCAAUCACUGAUUUAUACAGCUAUGCCUCCUCUCAAAGGUUCGUUUUUGUUAUGUUUUGUUUCAGGUUUGUUAGGAGUUCGCCAGAGAGUGGUGGGGAAAAGUCUGCAAGAGAAUUUCUUUGAACUUGACCGUUUCUCUCCAAGGCUGAUGGACCUCCUUUAGGAAAAAAGAAAGGCCUGCCCUAGCGAGCUUUUGGCUGAGCUUUACUUCAGACAAAGACCACUGAGCCAACACACAUCAGGUGCCUAUGUCUUCGGGGACUGCCUGUCAUCUUGGCGGAUGAUUCUUCUGCCUUCUUCAAGACAUGCUCUGAUGUAACUGACAAGGACUCGUACAGUUAAACUCCAGUGGGAAUUCUCUCCCUGGGUUGAGAAAAUACCCAGCUCAACCCAUUCAGUGUAGGGAUCAUCUUGGAAGGGUCUGUGGUAAUGGAUGAACUGGCCAACCUGCCUCAGGCCUUUUGUGUCCUUUCGUUUCACACACACAGCCGUUUCGGGUUGAUCUACGCCCUGCACCUGGACUAACCCAUGUGCAUGAAAAACACUUUCAACUUUACUCAGCAGGUAAUGCUCAAACUGGGUAGAAGUGAGCUGGAAGCGUAAAACGGGGUUCGAAAUGGCUUUACUACUGCUCCAGAUUUGUUUGCCCCAGUUUGUAAUGUUGGACUUUUGUGUUGUAUAUGGCUUGGGGUAUAUAUACAUGUGUCCUAUGGUAUUUGCACUGAUUUUUGCGCAAUAUUCCAUGACAGACAGGCUCUGAUUACAUUUAAUUCAAAUGAGUUGGAUAUUUUGUGUGUUACUUUUGUGUGAGUAAUAAAGAUCCUUUUCUGAAAUGCAA
Sander lucioperca (pikeperch) is the source of this 1342-nucleotide long non-coding RNA. RefSeq lists it as uncharacterized. NCBI's taxonomy places the organism in Eukaryota, Metazoa, Chordata, Actinopteri, Perciformes, Percidae. The record is from RefSeq and is a predicted model, not a curated record. The transcript has 3 exons.